GGGCUCGGUUGAACGGACUCACCAGGAAACGUGACUUUCGUGUCCGACCUCUGCUGUAUCAGGAUUCGAUUCUCGGUGUUAAACAAGACAACGCUGAAGGCUCGGUGCAGCAGCCCUGCAAAGGGAAUAUGAGGAGAGAAGCACGAUGGACGCAUGACUCAGCUGACUUUGGCACAGAUGAUACAGAACAAAAAUAACACAGCAGCAGUGAUGGGUUUUUCCAGCGCUCUUGGGAGGUGGGCUGUGCCACUCCCUGUCCCACCUGGCCCACCUGGCCCACCAUUACCUGAAGGGAAGCAUGAACAGCCUUUGACGUGGGAGUGGCAACUGCUGAGAGGGAACCGUCUGUACACAAGCAAUGUAGCCUUAUGGGACCCGAGUGGAGCCCCAACCCACGCAGGGCGUGUCUUCAUGGCUUUUCCUGGCCAAUCUGAUACCAAGAUGCAGUGGCAGAAGUACCUGCACUUCCACUCCUGUCAAGUCUCUGCAUGGCUAUGGUGAGGAAGAGCUCUGCACUGGGCAAGGAAGUUGGCUGUCGAGUGAAGGAAAUGGUGAUGCUGGUGGCCCCUUUCCUGCAGUCAAGUUCCCUAUCAAGGACAUUCAGUUCUCGGAAAGUGGUGAAGGCACACGCUUCCCUGCA
This 640-nucleotide long non-coding RNA is filed under the name Pan troglodytes (chimpanzee). RNAcentral describes it as "long non-coding RNA NONPTRT001558". The record is from RNAcentral. Lineage: Eukaryota; Metazoa; Chordata; Mammalia; Primates; Hominidae.